CGCUUUGCCAACAUGCUGGGCCAGCCGGGUAAGGCAGCCAGGCUAGGCAGCCAGGCUCCCCCUUCUCUGGCCUGGCUUCCUGCCCUGCCAGCCUCUCUGCACCCCCUACUCCCGGCUCCUGUCCUCGGCCCAGCCCCCAGGCCUUGGGAGGCUGCCGCCCGCCAGGCCCCCCUCCCUCCCUCCUUACAGGCUCCACCCCUCUGGACUUAUUCAAGUUCUAUGUGGAGGAGUUGAAGGCACGAUUCCAUGAUGAAAAGAAGAUCAUUAAGGACAUCCUUAAGGACCGGGGCUUCUGCGUGGAGGUGAACACGGCCUUUGAGGACUUCGCCCACGUCAUAAGCUUUGACAAGAGGGCUGCCGCACUGGACGCAGGCAACAUCAAGCUGACCUUCAAUAGUCUGCUGGAGAAAGCAGAGGCACGGGAGAGGGAGCGGGAGAAGGAGGAGGCACGCAGGAUGCGGCGCAGGG
RNAcentral lists this small RNA (468 nucleotides) under Pan troglodytes (chimpanzee). RNAcentral describes it as "retained intron". Lineage: Eukaryota; Metazoa; Chordata; Mammalia; Primates; Hominidae. The record is from RNAcentral.